This 468-nucleotide ribosomal RNA is filed under the name uncultured bacterium. RNAcentral describes it as "partial 16S ribosomal RNA". It matches the Rfam family "Bacterial small subunit ribosomal RNA", at positions 28 to 507 of the family's 1533-position model. The record is from RNAcentral.
GACGAACGCUGGCGGCGUGCUUAACACAUGCAAGUCGAACGGAAAGGCCCUGCUUUUGUGGGGUGCUCGAGUGGCGAACGGGUGAGUAACACGUGAGUAACCUGCCCUUGACUUUGGGAUAACUUCAGGAAACUGGGGCUAAUACCGGAUAGGAGCUCCUGCUGCAUGGUGGGGGUUGGAAAGUUUCGGCGGUUGGGGAUGGACUCGCGGCUUAUCAGCUUGUUGGUGGGGUAGUGGCUUACCAAGGCUUUGACGGGUAGCCGGCCUGAGAGGGUGACCGGACACACUGGGACUGAGAUACGGCCCAGACUCCUACGCGAGGCAGCAGUGGGGAAUAUUGCACAAUGGGCGGAAGCCUGAUGCAGCAACGCCGCGUGCGGGAUGACGGCCUUCGGGUUGUAAACCGCUUUCGCCUGUGACGAAGCGUGAGUGACGGUAAUGGGUAAAGAAGCACCGGCUAACUACGUG